CGGGAUUAGAUCCCGUUGGGAUGUGGUCCUGCUGGCAGGGCUGAACCGUGAA
This is a non-coding RNA of Methanosarcina horonobensis HB-1 = JCM 15518, 52 nucleotides long. Lineage: Archaea; Methanobacteriati; Methanobacteriota; Methanomicrobia; Methanosarcinales; Methanosarcinaceae. The record is from Rfam.